Non-coding RNA from Callorhinus ursinus (northern fur seal), 1639 nucleotides. Lineage: Eukaryota; Metazoa; Chordata; Mammalia; Carnivora; Otariidae. The record is from RefSeq and is a predicted model, not a curated record.
UCCACAGCCUGCAAGUGCGGCCCCCCCGGCACAGGCUCCCAGCGAGCGCGGCGGCCUGCUCGCCAGAGCCGAGCCCAGGGGCUGCCGACCGUGACCCGUAGUGCCCUCGGGGGCCCAGGUCUCGGGGGUGCUGGGGGCCCCGGGGGCGGCUGCUCGCUGCCCACACUGCGCCCCCCUUUCUGAACCGGCCUCCCCUCCUGGCGCCCCGCUGCCCGCUGCUUCCUCCCGACCCGCUGGCCCUUUCCCUUGGCCUUAAGUAUUUAUUUAAACUCUUAAAAUGAUUAGUGUCCCCUACUCCUUCACACUGCUGCAGGGGGAUCCUUCGGGAGGUAUUUCUGUGCUUUCUGCCCCUUUCCCUCUCCUCAGUACGGGUCCCGGCCUCCACACCCCGCUUCUGCCCCUUCCUCCUCUUGCCCUGGUGACAGUGUCCAGGCUAAUGGAGUCAAGGAAGGGGAGGGGUGGUGGGUUUCUGGGGAUGGGUCUGUGGGGGCUGGGAGUGGACACUGCAGCUCCUGGCCACUCGCUGCUGUCGCCUGGGAGGCCGUGGCCUGUGCCCACACUGACCCUCUCGGGCGCUCUGCCGGCAGGGAGCAUGAAGCGACUCUUGACCGAACCGUGGAUGCAUGAGGCCCUGCCAGGCCCCGGGACUCAGCGGCGAGCCCAGGCCCGAGCUCACGCAGCUGAUCAGCCUUCGGGAAGAGGGACGCUGAACAGUGAUGAGGAUCCCUCCAGUUGGUCCAGGAGGGGCGGUUCUUGGAGGCCUACCAGAGCAUCUCGAUGUUGGCAGAGGAAGGGCAGGACUGUGGCCCCCAGUACCAGGCUGUGGCCCAGAGCAUGUGGCAGGUCAUCCAGCAGGCUCUGGAGGGCCCUGGGCCCAGCCAGGAGCUGGAGCUGAAGCUCCAGGCAGUGCUGACCACUGUGGGGUGGACACAGGACAAGCACCAGAGCUGAGUGGCCGGCGCCCUCCAGGACAGUGGUGUUGCCCCGUGGGCUGGUCAGCUGGAGGACCUGCUGAGAAACGAUGCUGAGGCCCGAGUGCCCACCCUGGGCCCCAAGGACCAGCUGGACCCAUACCUGGAGAAGCUAGACCAAGCUAUGAGACAGGGCCUGGGGUCCCCGUGGGCAAGCCGAUUGGGGACCUGCCUCUGGGAGGUCUAUAGGAUGUACUUCCAGGAAGUGCUCCUCAGCCGCCUCUCUGAGCUCACGCACUCCUGCGGCACCAACUUGAAAAGCUGUCAAGUCCUGUACACCUGGCACAAGACGAACUUGUUUGGGCAUCCGGGGGAGACACUUGUGAAAGCACCUCUGACCUCUCAGGAGCCCACGGUCGGGCACCUCUUGGACCCCAUAAUGUUUGUUACCUGGAUGUCCCAAAUGCAGAAGAAGCUGGUGGGGCUGAUCCAGGAAGAGUUGGCAAAGCGUGUAGAAAGAGUCCUGAUCUGGGAUCGGAAAAGGUGAGCCCAGUGUUCCCACCCAACGUUUCUCGAAAUCUUCCAGCUGCUGAAAGAAAGCAUGAAUGCAGUACAACCCAUGGGACUACCUGUCACUAGCCAGGUGCAAGCGGUGGUUCUGGAAACAUUUUCAGAGUUUCUGAAAAGGGUGCCUGGGUGGCUCAGUUGGUUGAGCGACUGCCUUCGGC